UAAGGAAUAUUGGUCAAUGGACGCAAGUCUGAACCAGCCAUGCCGCGUGAAGGAUGAAGGUCCUCUGGAUUGUAAACUUCUUUUAUCUGGGACGAAAACGGGAUUUUUAUCUCAAUUGACGGUACCAGAGGAAUAAGCACCGGCUAACUCCGUGCCAGCAGCCGCGGUAAUACGGAGGGUGCGAGCGUUAUCCGGAUUUACUGGGUUUAAAGGGUGCGUAGGUGGGCUUAUAAGUCAGUGGUGAAAUCUCCGAGCUUAACUUGGAAACUGCCGUUGAUACUAUAGGUCGUGAAUUAUCUGGAGGUAAGCGGAAUAUGUCAUGUAGCGGUGAAAUGCUAAGAUAUGACAUAGAACACCAAUUGCGAAGGCAGCUUACUACAUAUAAAUUGACGCUGAGGCACGAAAGCGUGGGGAUCAAACA
RNAcentral lists this ribosomal RNA (421 nucleotides) under uncultured bacterium. RNAcentral's name for it is "bacterial SSU rRNA". It matches the Rfam family "Bacterial small subunit ribosomal RNA", at positions 355 to 774 of the family's 1533-position model. The record is from RNAcentral.